AGGUCCCGCUGAGGAGAGGUGUUCAUGCAGAAGUCCAGAAAGUGAAGUCGCUGUACUGUUUUAUUUUUAUUUUAAACAGUCGCCUGGAGGUCCCGCUGAGGAGAGGUGUUCAUGCAGAAGUCCAGAAAGUGAAGUCGCUGUACUGUUUUAUUUUUAUUUUAAACAGUUUAAACAGUUCUGGGAGAAUAAAUCUGCCCCAGCUGGCAAAGAGAGAGCUGAAUCCUCUGGUUAUUUACACAACACAACGCAGAGAACUAACGGCAAAUGGAGUUUAAGGCCAGAC
Long non-coding RNA from Oreochromis aureus, 283 nucleotides. RefSeq lists it as uncharacterized. NCBI's taxonomy places the organism in Eukaryota, Metazoa, Chordata, Actinopteri, Cichliformes, Cichlidae. The record is from RefSeq and is a predicted model, not a curated record. The transcript has 3 exons.